This 251-nucleotide long non-coding RNA is filed under the name Ananas comosus (pineapple). RNAcentral describes it as "long non-coding RNA (ACOM_LNC001983)". Lineage: Eukaryota; Viridiplantae; Streptophyta; Magnoliopsida; Poales; Bromeliaceae. The record is from RNAcentral.
AAUUAAAAUACACUUUAUUUUAUUCAAUAUAUCACGUGUAACAUUUAUAUUCACUUUUCAUGAAAACUUAUGCUAUUAUUAGUGCUUACCCUUUUCUAUCAGCCUUUCAUUAUAAUUUUUAUAUUCAUUUGCAAUAUCAAAAUUCCCUCUUUUUUUUUUCUUUUCUAAGUACACCAAAAUUAUACUUCUUCUUCUCGAAUUUCUUUUCAUUUUCUCCUUUCUUGUUUAUUUAAAAUUUAUGCUAUUAAUAA